RNAcentral lists this long non-coding RNA (871 nucleotides) under Nicotiana benthamiana. RNAcentral describes it as "long non-coding RNA (NBEN_LNC039471)". Lineage: Eukaryota; Viridiplantae; Streptophyta; Magnoliopsida; Solanales; Solanaceae. The record is from RNAcentral.
AAAAAUGCAGAAGCAAAAAAAUCAAUCAAAAUACUGUUUCAUCCAAGUUUUGAGCAUAGGGAUACAAAAAUACUAUUUUUCACUAAAGAAUCUUUGAAAUUUCCUGUAGUACUGAUUCUAUAACGAGUUUUUGAGAAAUUAAAUGAGCUGAAGUGUGUAUGACAUGUAACUUUGGGGUCAUUCUUUGUGAAAGUUAUGUUUUGAGCUUGGUGAGACAUCCUUUAAUUCCAAGACAGGUUUAAAGUGACAUUUUCAAUCACUCUUUGGGUUAAGUUUGUUGUUGCUAUUGUUUUCUACUACGUAUUUGCUUAAUAUUGUUUUCUUCUACUUUUCAGGUACACAUCUCAUUGAAACCUUUGUAAUUUGAUGCUAAAUUGGAAGAGUAGAUGCUCUGGACAUUUAUUUUAGUCUUCUUCUACCUCUUGUGUUGAAAUGCCAUUUUCAAUAUAAUUUAUGUUUAUUAAACAUGCUCUGAAGUAUUAGUAAGUCUGGGAUUUCAACCUUUUGAAUGAGUUAAAAUCAUCAUUAACACUGUGUAUUUUGGUUUUUUCACAGCUCGACAUUCAUUUUUUUUACAUUAAUUGAACUUUACAUAGCUGUGGUUGCUCUAUAGUAAGGUGUUAGGAUUUACAGCCCUGCAUUAGAUUUGUAUUUAUUGCUGAUCUUGGACUGUUACACGAAUUUGAUGAAAUCGGAGGUUGAAUUUUAAACUAGAUCUUAUGUUUAAUAAUGUUAAUUAGUAUGUGUGUGGUGUUAGGGUUUGUUAUUUCCAUUUGAAUGCUAUGAUAUAGUAUUGACGCACCUUUGAAGGGUAUGUGAGUUUCUUUGAAUUGGUAUUUGAAGUCAAAUUUGUUCGAGUUUAAAAGGGAAA